CUGCUAUUCAGCAAUAAAUACAAAAAACAUGUUUUUGAUACAUAUAUCAAUGUGGCUGAAUGUUGAAAUAAGUAUGUUGAAUAAAAAAGCCAGAUAAAAUGAUCACAUACUGUAUAAUUAGCUUUAUCACAAUUCUAGAAAAUACAUAAUAUUGACAAAGUAAUCGGUGGUUCCCUGCAUAUGUAAUUGGAGGAAGGGAUGUUUUAUAAUAGUGAUAGUGGCAGGAGGCAGACAAAUUCCUAGGCAGAUCAGGGUGGGUCCCUGGUGAAAUCCAACUUUCAAGCCAAAGCCUGAAAAGCCUGAAAACCGGGCUGCCAGUUCCAGGUAGAAUCCACAACCGGAAGUGAGAACUUCCUGAUGCCUUUCAGCCAAUCAAAUGGUUCUUCUUUCAGAGCCCACCCAUGGACCAAUCAGCAUGCACGUCCUUCAUUCUGAGCAUAUAAAAACCCCUGGACUCGGCCACAGCUGUCGACUACCAGGCUGCGUUAGGAGCUACCGUCUUCAGCUUUUUCUCGCUGCUGAGAGCUGUUUUGUUACUCAGUAAAACUCUUCUCCACCGUGCUCACCCUUCAGUUGACCGUGCAACUUCAUUCUUCCUGGACAUAAACCCGGGACCCACAGAACAGCGGGUGCAAAAAGGGCUGUAACGCUUUCCUGGCCGGAUCGCCAAGCUGCAGGUAAGAUGUGCCUGCUUCACCUACUGGCGUGAAUGUAAACUUUCUGAGACCUUCCCAGCCAUGUGGAACUGUAGUUGGGAGCCAGGGAAGGAGUGACACUAUCCCUAGAUGUAGUGAUAUGUUUUACAGGUCCACAGCUGGAAGGAGCUUUCCUUGAUUCUCAAAUGAGACUUUGGACUUUGGACUUUUGAGUCGGUGCUGAAACAAGCCACGCUCUUCAUGCCUGUGUGUUUCCCGCACCCCUGGGAAGGCGAAGGGAAGGAGCUACAUUGUCAAGUGUGGUCCAGCAAGUAAGCAGGUCCUGAGCACCAAACAUAUCACAGGCACUCACUGCUUGGGCCCACCAGUCAACAGGAGCCUGCUAGAUACAGCCAUGUGCCACUCCAACCUCCCUGAGGGCAUGGCCUAUGCACUAUUUGAUUUUCAGCAUAUCAUCACGAACUCCACGGGCGUCAAGAAGCAAUGGGUGUGGAUGUAGAAGCAGCCCGGAUUGCAACUGUGGUGGUGUAUUCUUGAACUAUAUUGUUCUAUUGGUGGUUUCUAGCUUUCUUGCCUUUCUGACCAUGAUACGAGUAGCUCCCUUGAUGGGUUAGUUCUGAAGGUUCAGAGAGUCUCUCCUCAGGCCUACACAAGCUCACUACUGCUCACUUUAUGUGAUGUGGGCCUACACAAGCUCACUGCUGCUGUCUUUCUAACAUGUCUAUAUGUUCUUCAUUAACUCUAUUAGAUCACUUUCUGCUGAAAGAGAUCAGUGUGCUUUCUGUUUCCUGAACUCAACCUUGGGAAAAAUAAGCAUAAAAUAUGUAUACAACAAGUGAAGAACAUCAAAGCAGCCCUGAGAUGAAUUUUCUAGGUAGACCAUCAACUUCUUUGUCAUCAAAAGCCUCAAUUCAAGAGUGAUUCAAAUUAGUACUUUACUGAAAUUACUGAUCACUAUUUGUCACAUUACUUUAAGGCUGAUUAUGAAUAUUUGAAACUUCAUGUUAAGUGCCUCAAUACCAACAGACUACUGUACUUGUUUAAUUUAAAUUUGAAAGCUAUCAUAAUUUCAAUAAAGGAAACACAGUGUAAACAAUAAGGAGUAAGACAAGCAUAUUCAUAUAAAACAUUUAGUUGCUAUUUUUUACUAUUAAAUUAUAUGACAUAACACACCAGAAGUUGACAGUGAAAAAGUCACUUGGCCUGAAAAUACAUGAGUAUGCCAAGGAAGGAAAUGAUGUGCUAAGUUGCUCUAUUACCAAGGCUUACUGAUUUCUACUCAUUUUAUAUUUUAUCCACUCCCUCUAAUCUUCACCAUGAAAAAAAUAAUAGUAUAUGUUUUUAUAGAAUACAUUUGUAGUUACAGAUUUCGGAAUCAUAUAGAGUAAAAUGUGGAAUAUUUCUAUAAGUCUGGAUAACUCUAAGUCUUGAAAGAAUUCAACUAUGUAAAAAUCAAUGAUUUUAAAACAAACAUUGAAUACACUGAUUGGUAAAAAGCUGUAUAGUUAAAUUUACCUAUCUAAUUUAGGUAGUUGAGUAGCCACAUGUAUAUUUUGCUCUUGUUUACCAUGAAAAUUAGACAUUUCCAUUUUACAUAAAUUGAAAUAUAAGUGCACUUAUGCUAAAGUGUUUUAGAAAGCAAUUUAGAUACUUAAAAGACAACUGUAACAUAUAAAUACUAAAUAAUAUGUUACAAAAACUGUGAGAAUUUAUAAAAUAUUUUGCAUGGCAAUGAGAGAAUUAAAUACUGUUUUAGCAGUUAUAUUUGGUAUUUAUGCUACCUCCAAUUACAAGAAAGAUAGGAGGAAGACAUAAACCUGAAAUAAAAUAAGUGCACAAUAAUCUCUUAUGGUUAAAUAUUUACUGAAAUAAAUUUGUAAUUUCUUAAUACUGUAGUAUUAACUUUGUUCAAAUAGCCCACAAUUUAAAAAGAAUAGCAAGUGUAAACUUUCAUGCCAAUCAGUGGAAAAUUUGGAAUUAAGCUCAUUUUAAAUUCUGAUAUGUUUAUAUACAUGCAUAAUAAUAGAUAUAAAUACAUGUCAUGAUUUCUGCUAUAUCUAGUAAAGUGUCUUAGAUUGUUGCUGUCUUUUUAAUUUAAUUAUCACAUAAUAUCUGAUACUUGUCUAAUCAUCCUUCUGCAUUUUUAGAGGCUAAUAUUAAUAUAAUUGUGAACAGACAAAACAUAUACAUGUAUACUGAUGCACAUUCACACACACAUAUACAGAAACUCCUACAGUCCAAAGCCUUCAAAAGAAGAGCCCAUG
RNAcentral lists this long non-coding RNA (2920 nucleotides) under Homo sapiens (human). RNAcentral describes it as "HSALNT0092439". Lineage: Eukaryota; Metazoa; Chordata; Mammalia; Primates; Hominidae. The record is from RNAcentral.